This 492-nucleotide ribosomal RNA is filed under the name uncultured bacterium. RNAcentral's name for it is "partial 16S ribosomal RNA". It matches the Rfam family "Bacterial small subunit ribosomal RNA", at positions 29 to 507 of the family's 1533-position model. The record is from RNAcentral.
AGUGAACGCUGGCGGUAGGCCUAACACAUGCAAGUCGAACGGCAGCACAGUAAGAGCUUGCUCUUACGGGUGGCGAGUGGCGGACGGGUGGGGAAUACAUCGGAAUCUACUUUUUCGUGGGGGUUAACGUAGGGAAACUUACGCUAAUACCGCAUACGACCUACGGGUGAAAGUAGGGGAUCUUCGGACCUUGCGCGAUUGAAUGAGCCGAUGUCGGAUUAGCUAGUUGGCGGGGUAAAGGCCCACCAAGGCGACGAUCCGUAGCUGGUCUGAGAGGAUGAUCAGCCACACUGGAACUGAGACACGGUCCAGACUCCUACGGGAGGCAGCAGUGGGGAAUAUUGGACAAUGGGCGCAAGCCUGAUCCAGCCAUACCGCGUGGGUGAAGAAGGCCUUCGGGUUGUAAAGCCCUUUUGUUGGGAAAGAAAAGCAGCAGGUUAAUACCCCGCUGUUCUGACGGUACCCAAAGAAUAAGCACCGGCUAACUUCGUG